UGGGGAAUAUUGGACAAUGGGCGAAAGCCUGACCCAGCAACGCCGCGUGAAGGAUGAAGUAUUUCGGUAUGUAAACUUCGAAAGAAUAGGAAGAAUAAAUGACGGUACUAUUUAUAAGGUCCGGCUAACUACGUGCCAGCAGCCGCGGUAAUACGUAGGGACCAAGCGUUGUUCGGAUUUACUGGGCGUAAAGGGCGCGUAGGCGGCAAUUCAAGUCAUCUGUGAAAUCUCCGGGCUUAACUCGGAACGGUCAGAUGAUACUGCUUUGCUAGAGUGCAGAAGGGGCAAUCGGAAUUCUUGGUGUAGCGGUGAAAUGCGUAGAUAUCAAGAGGAACACCUGAGGUGAAGACGGGUUGCUGGGCUGACACUGACGCUGAGGCGCGAAAGCCAGGGGAGCAAACGGGAUUAGAUACCCCAGUAGUCCCUGAGCGGGCUGGCAAGGCGCAU
This 447-nucleotide ribosomal RNA is filed under the name uncultured bacterium. RNAcentral describes it as "bacterial SSU rRNA". It matches the Rfam family "Bacterial small subunit ribosomal RNA", at positions 355 to 825 of the family's 1533-position model. The record is from RNAcentral.